Molecule: long non-coding RNA, 289 nt
Organism: Herpailurus yagouaroundi (jaguarundi)
Lineage: Eukaryota; Metazoa; Chordata; Mammalia; Carnivora; Felidae
Exons: 2
Source: RefSeq, a predicted model, not a curated record
AGUGCCUUCCUUCUCCCUGAAGUGUAUGAACAGGACUCCCCCUCAGAGCUGAGCCAGACCCUGGAUUCUCAAGGGGUUGGCUGAUUCCCUUGGGACGCAGGUAUCCAGGCUGAAAACCGGAUUUUAUGAGCUGAGGAAGAUGACAAUGUGAAAAAUGGCGAUUUUCCCUUAGGCAGAGACCGGAUUUGCAGAUCCUUUUCUACCCACAAUGCUUGUGCCUGCAGCUGCUUUGAACUUUGCUGAAAAGAUUUUUCUUAGCUUGAAAUCAUUAAAAUAUGUUUAAACGGCA